This 596-nucleotide ribosomal RNA is filed under the name uncultured bacterium. RNAcentral's name for it is "bacterial SSU rRNA". It matches the Rfam family "Bacterial small subunit ribosomal RNA", at positions 905 to 1503 of the family's 1533-position model. The record is from RNAcentral.
AGGAAUAGACGGGGACCCGCACAAGCGGUGGAGCAUGUGGUUUAAUUCGACGAUACGCGAAGAACCUUACCUGGACUUGACAUAGUAAGAACUUUCUAGAGAUAGAUUGGUGUCUGCUUGCAGAAACUUAUAUACAGGUGCUGCACGGCUGUCGUCAGCUCGUGUCGUGAGAUGAUGGGUUAAGUCCCGCAACGAGCGCAACCCUCGUCGUUAGUUGCUAACAGUUCGGCUGAGAACUCUAACGAGACUGCCUACGCAAGUAGGAGGAAGGUGAGGACGACGUCAAGUCAUCAUGGCCCUUACGUCCAGGGCUACACACGUGCUACAAUGGGGUAUACAAAGAGCCGCAAUACCGCGAGGUGGAGCAAAUCUCUUAAAAUAUCUCCCAGUUCGGAUUGUAGUCUGCAACUCGACUACAUGAAGUUGGAAUCGCUAGUAAUCGUAGAUCAGCAAUGCUACGGUGAAUACGUUCCCGGGUCUUGUACUCACCGCCCGUCACACCAUGGGAGUUGAACUCAUUCGAAGCGGGGAUGCUAAAGUAGCUACCUUCCACAGUGGAUUCAGCGACUGGGGUGAAGUCGUAACAAGGUAACCAU